GGGCCGGUCGUCUAGUGGGAGGAUACAGACCUAGAACGGUGGUGGUCCCGGGUUCGAAUCCCGGCCGGUCCACCA
This 75-nucleotide transfer RNA is filed under the name Thermofilum adornatum 1505. Its description in RNAcentral is "Thermofilum adornatus 1505 tRNA-Ser". It matches the Rfam family "tRNA". From Rfam's summary of the family: Transfer RNA (tRNA) molecules are approximately 80 nucleotides in length. Their secondary structure includes four short double-helical elements and three loops (D, anti-codon, and T loops). Further hydrogen bonds mediate the characteristic L-shaped molecular structure. tRNAs have two regions of fundamental functional importance: the anti-codon, which is responsible for specific mRNA codon recognition, and the 3' end, to which the tRNAs corresponding amino acid is attached (by aminoacyl-tRNA synthetases). tRNAs cope with the degeneracy of the genetic code in two manners: having more than one tRNA (with a specific anti-codon) for a particular amino acid; and 'wobble' base-pairing, i.e. permitting non-standard base-pairing at the 3rd anti-codon position. RNAcentral also lists the same sequence under 1 other name. The record is from RNAcentral. Lineage: Archaea; Thermoproteati; Thermoproteota; Thermoprotei; Thermofilales; Thermofilaceae.